Molecule: ribosomal RNA, 973 nt
Filed under: uncultured bacterium
Lineage: Bacteria
Description: bacterial SSU rRNA
Rfam family: Bacterial small subunit ribosomal RNA
Source: RNAcentral
AGAGUUUGAUCAUGGCUCAGGACGAACGCUGGCGGCGUGGAUUAGGCAUGCAAGUCGAACGGUAUGGACCUUUCGGGGUUCAGAGAGUGGCGAACGGGUGAGUAACACGUAGGUAAUCUACCCUCAAGACGGGGACAACCCAGGGAAACUUGGGCUAAUACCGGAUGUGUGUAGUGGCUAUUUUUCUGAUUAUCAUUAUUUACGUAAGUGAGUAAUAAUAAGAAGGGAAAGUGGUUAUUACAUAAAAGGUGGCGUAAGCUGCCGCUUGGGGAUGAGCCUGCGUCCUAUUAGUUAGUUGGUGAGGUAACGGCUUACCAAGGCGAUGAUAGGUAGGCGGCCUUAACGGGUGGUCGCCCACACUGGGAUUGAGAUACGGCCCAGACUCCUACGGGAGGCAGCAGUCGAGAAUAGUCUACAAUGGACGGAAGUCUGAUAGUGCGACGCCGCGUGAACGAAGAAUCCCUUCGGGGUGUAAAGUUCUUUUAUACGUGAGCAGUGUCCUUUAUAUUAAUAGUAUAAGGGGAGAGAUAUUAGCGUAUGAAUAAGCAACGGCUAACUCCGUGCCAGCAGCCGCGGUAACACGGGGGUUGCGAGCGUUGUCCGGAAUUACUAGGCGUAAAGUGCAGGUAGGCGGAUAAAUAAGUUUAAGGUUAAAGGCUACGGCUUACCCGUAGUAAGGCGUUAGAUACUGUUUAUCUGGAAUGCGGUUGAGGGAGACAGAAUUCCUGGUGUAGCGGUGGAAUGCGCAGAGAUCAGGAGGAAUACCGAAGGCGAAGGCAGUCUUCUAAGCCGAUAUUGACGCUAAACUGCGAAGGUGUGGGGAUCAAACAGGAUUAGAUACCCUGGUAGUCCACACAGUAAACGAUAAUCACUAGGUGUUGGGUUCUUAAGAGGAUUCAGUGCCGGAGCUAACGCGAUAAGUGAUUCGCCUGGGGAGUACGAUCGCAAGGUUGAAACUCAAAUGAAUUGACGG